UACGGAGGGUGCAAGCGUUGUCCGGAUUUAUUGGGCGUAAAGGGCGCGUAGGCGGCCAGGUAAGUCGGAUGUGAAAUCCCUCGGCUCAACUGAGGAAUUGCGUUCGAAACUGUCUGGCUUGAGUUCGGGAGAGGGAAGUGGAAUUCCCAGUGUAGAGGUGAAAUUCGUAGAUAUUGGGAGGAACACCAGUGGCGAAGGCGGCUUCCUGGACCGAAACUGACGCUGAGGCGCGAAAGCGUGGGUAGCAAACAGGAUUAGAUACCCUGGUAGUCCACGCUGUAAACGAUGGAUACUAGGUGCUGCGGGUAUUGACCCCUGCGGCGCCGGAGCUAACGUAUUAAGUAUCCCGCCUGGGGAGUACGGCCGCAAGGCUAAA
RNAcentral lists this ribosomal RNA (376 nucleotides) under uncultured bacterium. RNAcentral's name for it is "bacterial SSU rRNA". It matches the Rfam family "Bacterial small subunit ribosomal RNA", at positions 524 to 898 of the family's 1533-position model. The record is from RNAcentral.